RNAcentral lists this non-coding RNA (142 nucleotides) under Massilia sp. NR 4-1. RNAcentral describes it as "FMN riboswitch aptamer (RFN element)". It matches the Rfam family "FMN riboswitch aptamer (RFN element)". From Rfam's summary of the family: The RFN element is a highly conserved domain that is found frequently in the 5'-untranslated regions of prokaryotic mRNAs that encode for flavin mononucleotide (FMN) biosynthesis and transport proteins. This element is a metabolite-dependent riboswitch that directly binds FMN in the absence of proteins. Lineage: Bacteria; Pseudomonadati; Pseudomonadota; Betaproteobacteria; Burkholderiales; Oxalobacteraceae. The record is from Rfam by way of RNAcentral. RNAcentral also lists the same sequence under 1 other name.
AUACGUCUUCGGGGCGGGGUGAAAUUCCCCACCGGCGGUAAGACCGGCAACGGUCAAGCCCGCGAGCGCCUGCGCAAGCAGGGUCAGCAGAUCUGGUGCGAAGCCAGAGCCGACGGUAUAGUCCGGAUGAAAGAAGAUGUGC